UACGUAGGGGCCUAGAGUUGUCCGGAAUUAUUGGGCGUAAAGAGCUCGUAGGCGGUUCGGCAAGUCGGAUGUGAAAUCUCCACGCUCAACGUGGAGGGGCCAUUCGAAACUGCCGUGACUCGAGUCCGGUAGGGGAGUGUGGAAUUCCCGGUGUAGCGGUGAAAUGCGUAGAGAUCGGGAGGAACACCAGAGGCGAAGGCGGCUCGCUGGACAGUUACUGACACUCAACUACGAAAGCGUGGGGAGCAAACAGG
Molecule: ribosomal RNA, 254 nt
Filed under: uncultured bacterium
Lineage: Bacteria
Description: partial 16S ribosomal RNA
Rfam family: Bacterial small subunit ribosomal RNA
Source: RNAcentral